Molecule: transfer RNA, 78 nt
Filed under: Klebsiella pneumoniae
Lineage: Bacteria; Pseudomonadati; Pseudomonadota; Gammaproteobacteria; Enterobacterales; Enterobacteriaceae
Description: tRNA-Pro
Source: RNAcentral
UGGUGCGGCUUACAGCGGUUUAUAAGCGGCGUCAUGGGGUGUCGGGGGUCGGAGGUUCAAAUCCUCUCGUGCCGACCA